GGAAGUGUGGCGGAACUGGUAAACGCAUCCGACUCCUAAUCGGUCAAACCUUGCCCGGGUUUUGUGGGUUCGAGUCCCACCACUUCCA
Molecule: transfer RNA, 88 nt
Filed under: [Phormidium] sp. LEGE 05292
Lineage: Bacteria; Bacillati; Cyanobacteriota; Cyanophyceae; Aerosakkonematales; Aerosakkonemataceae
Description: tRNA-Arg
Rfam family: tRNA
About the family: Transfer RNA (tRNA) molecules are approximately 80 nucleotides in length. Their secondary structure includes four short double-helical elements and three loops (D, anti-codon, and T loops). Further hydrogen bonds mediate the characteristic L-shaped molecular structure. tRNAs have two regions of fundamental functional importance: the anti-codon, which is responsible for specific mRNA codon recognition, and the 3' end, to which the tRNAs corresponding amino acid is attached (by aminoacyl-tRNA synthetases). tRNAs cope with the degeneracy of the genetic code in two manners: having more than one tRNA (with a specific anti-codon) for a particular amino acid; and 'wobble' base-pairing, i.e. permitting non-standard base-pairing at the 3rd anti-codon position.
Source: RNAcentral